This 857-nucleotide ribosomal RNA is filed under the name uncultured crenarchaeote. RNAcentral describes it as "bacterial SSU rRNA". It matches the Rfam family "Archaeal small subunit ribosomal RNA", at positions 401 to 1256 of the family's 1478-position model. The record is from RNAcentral. Lineage: Archaea; Thermoproteati; Thermoproteota.
UAGGAGCUGUGGUAGGUGCGUAAUGUUCCCUACUAGAAAGGAGAAGGCAAGGCUGGUGCCAGCCGCCGCGGUAAAACCAGCUCUUCAAGUGGUCGGGAUAAUUAUUGGGCUUAAAGUGUCCGUAGCUGGUAAGGUAAGUUCCUGGUAAAAUUGGGCAGCUUAACUGUCCUUAUGCUAGGAAUACUGCUUUACUAGAGGGCGGGAGAGGUCUGAGGUACUACAGGGGUAGGAGUGAAAUCUUAUAAUCCUUGUAGGACCACCAGUGGCGAAGGCGUCAGACUGGAACGCGCCUGACGGUGAGGGACGAAAGCCAGGGGAGCGAACCGGAUUAGAUACCCGGGUAGUCCUGGCCGUAAACGAUGCACACUAGAUGAUGGUGCGGCCAUGAGCCGUAUCAGUGUCGUAGGGAAACCGUUAAGUGUGCCGCCUGGGAAGUACGGUCGCAAGGCUUAAACUUAAAGGAAUUGGCGGGGGAGCACCACAAGGGGUGAAGCCUGCGGUUCAAUUGGACUCAACGCCGGGCAACUUACCAGGGGAGACAGCAGAAUGAAGGUCAGGUUGACGACCUUACCUAACAAGCUGAGAGGAGGUGCAUGGCCGUCGCCAGUUCGUGCUGUGAGGUAUCCUGUUAAGUCAGGCAACGAACGAGACCCGUGCCUUUAUUUGCCAUCAAGAAGUCACGACUUCGUUGGGAACGAUAAAGGGACUGCCGUCGAUAAGACGGAGGAAGGAGCGGGCAAAGGCAGGUCAGUAUGCCCCGAAACCCCUGGGCUACACGCGGGCUGCAAUGGUGCGAACAAUGGGCUGUGACUCCGACAGGAGAAACCAAUCCCGAAAUCGCAUCUCAGUUGGGAUUG